GACCAAACAGUGGAUGUGAGCACGUUUAGGCAGUAAGUGGUGCAUUUCAGCAGUGAUGAUCACAAUGUGGAAGACACAUCACAUUCCAGAUGGCCACGCACAGCUGGCACACUACAGAAGUGAGAGCAGCUUGAUCAGUUCAUCCAUGCAAACUGCAAAAAGCUUAAUAUCACCUUCAAUUAAUUGGAAAUGAUGGUGGAAUAUUGCAAAGUUUGAGCCAAGUGGGUCCCAUGAAAGCUCAUGCAGGAAUAGAAAAAGCAUGCAAGUUUGUCAGAACAUACUGAACCAAUACAAGGCUGAAGUUGACAGAUUUUUAUAUUAUGGUAUGUAGGCUUUUGUUUGUCACUGACAAAAAUGCAUAGCUAAUGGUGGUGACAAGGCUGAAAAAUAGUGUUUUGCUGAAAAUUUGCCACAAAUAGUGUUAAUAUGCAUAUUAUUAUGUUAUUAUCUUUGUAUCUCGUAUAGUUCCAUGGAAAUAAAUAGGAGGCAUUACUUUUGGAACAGUAUUUCAAAUUUAUUGGAGUAAAAUGAACUUAAAAUGGCUAAUUAAAUAUCAUGUUGGUUUGAUUAUACAGAAUAAAACAGCACCUGAUUUUGCACAGCAUAUUCCUCCUUAAAUAGUAUGCAAAACAAUAACAGAUGCUUGUAAUUAAAAUGAUAUUUAUCAUUAAAAAGAAAAAAUCUGGUAAGUAAUUCAUAUAUUCAGCACGUAAGUCUAAUCUCAGUUCUCCCAUUUCUGCCCUUUUUGUUGAGCUGGAAACCAGGAAUUGGCUGAAGAUGCUUUUCAACCUGUUCAGUUUUCACUUUUGGCUACCUUUACAUUCUUCUUUCCCUAUCUCUUCAAUGAAGACAUGGUAGUCUUCUUUAUAUACAUCCUUAUCUUGUCACAACUCAUAAUUAAUAUCUAUUUUAGCCAUUGUUUUUAUGUACAUAUUAGCAAAUCUGCAUUUUUAAUUCCCACUUGCAUGCCUGUCUGGAUUCUGUUAUCUCCUGAGCAAAGGCAUAACAUCAUUUGAGGUUCUUGCCAAAAGUUUCUAUUUUCCCUGUUUUUGAUUUCAGUGUUCUUAGUAGUAACUCAGCUCCUAACUUUGCUUCUGAAACCAGAAAUCUAAGAAUUAUCCUUGAUACUCUCUUCUACAUUCCAGUUUUCUCUAAUGUUUUCUCUGUUUUUUGGAAUGCAGUUUGUGCUUAAUGUAGUAUUGCCUCCUCUUUCUGUGCUUGUGUCUUUUUUUUUUUUUUUUAAACUGGCUUCUUUUUUUAUAGUCUGUGUCCUUUUUCUGUUCAACUAGGUACCUUAAAGGCAGAUCUUAUUUCUUGAGACUGCAAAAGAAUAAUGGCAAGCCCUCUUUUGCUUCAGGAAGUAGAAGACCCAAGUAUUUUGCCUUUGUUUUUGAGCUGUGUAAAGCAAGGACAUGGCAACCUGACCACAUCUGAAGCAGAGUUGGAAAUGUUCCCAUCAGUCUUCCAGAGAUUCAGGAAAGAGCAUCUUUUAUUCCUUAAUAGCUUUCUCUUGACCAUCUGUGGUCAAGCCAUGCUUUCUCCUUACCGUUUCAAGAGCCUGGAUUGUUCUCAGAGCCAGAAGGGGAGAAGCAGAAAGUCCAGCUGCAUGAGGGAAUUCUGCUUUUUUCUUACCCUGUGACUAUUGGAAAGAUUCUUCUCUUCACAUUUCUUUACAUCUGAGCACAGGAUUUGGAAAUGCUUUGAAAGCUGAUAGCUUCAAGAAAGCAGAGGAGACUAAGAAGGAUAGAAUGAAUUCAGAGGGCAUGUUUUUCAAGAGCCAGGAAUCUGACAUACACGGAAUUGUGAACUCUUGUCGCAGAAGAUGAAGUUCUUAUGGUGAUAUGUUUCAAAUGAGACUAGCUGUGAUUCAGACACACCUGAUACAAGCAUAUCAUUAUCUCUGUCAUUUUCUCAUUAAUGAUCAUGUGGUUGUUAUAAAGAGCUGACAGAAAAUUGCAUAAAUUAUCAUACAAUUAUUAUAUAAUAAUUAGCCCUCAUAUGUAUAUAAUAUAGAAAAAUUAAGUCAUGAAAUGAACUUGCUUGCAGAAGUGCUAAAAAAAUUACCUGUCACACACAGUUUACACUGAAAAGGCAGUAGAAGAAUGCAUUUUUUCAUUGAUAAACGAAGCCUUAAAUCUCCAGGCAAACUGAAUUUCAUUAGCAGAGAAAUUAAAAUUUGAUCUUUCUAUUAAAAUAGCUGCCAAAGUUAAGGGAUCACAGCAAAUAUGCAUGAUAUGUUGCUCAUACCACCUGGGAAUGGGGGGAGUUUUCCCUUUUCCUACAGUAAGUAGUAGUUAUUACUCAGGGAGACCAUGCCCAGGGGUGCAGCCCUUCCAAGAACCAGGGCAUAAUUCUAGCCAUUGCAAAAAUUUUUCACUAUUUUCAAUUCUUAGUUCUGCUAACCAUGUAAAAGCACAGAGACAUUCCAAAGUAUCUGACAGAUAAUGUGUAUUUUUCUCAUUUGUUUUUCUCCAAAAGUUGUGAUAUAUUCUUUGUAGUGCAACCUUUGCAUUGUUUUGAAAUAAACUUGCUUUUCUACGUC
This is a long non-coding RNA of Centrocercus urophasianus (Greater sage-grouse), 2542 nucleotides long. RefSeq lists it as uncharacterized. The transcript is spliced from 2 exons. The record is from RefSeq and is a predicted model, not a curated record. Lineage: Eukaryota; Metazoa; Chordata; Aves; Galliformes; Phasianidae.